UGGGCUAUUGAGGGGAUAUUGUUAGUGGCAAAGUAAUCAAGUAUGCUUUUUCGAAAAUAAAAAGGAAUUAGGCUUUUGAGGGAUAUUCUCAGUGCCAAAAUAUAAAAGAAAAGGAGGAAAAAAAAAAUAAUCCAUUCAUAUGAUGGUUGUUGAAACACUUUUUCGUGCAAAAAAGUCAAUAAACUAGAGGUAAUCUAGGAUUCCUCCGUAGACUCCGUUAAUUAAAUUUUAGAUAGAAUUAAAUCUUUUAUUUUUAUUUGCUAACUAUUACUAAUGCAAGGUCUGAAAAUAAAAAAAAAUGAAAUUAAAAUAUAAAUA
Molecule: long non-coding RNA, 318 nt
Filed under: Vigna radiata
Lineage: Eukaryota; Viridiplantae; Streptophyta; Magnoliopsida; Fabales; Fabaceae
Description: long non-coding RNA (VRAD_LNC015302)
Source: RNAcentral